GAUGAACGCUGGCGGCGUGCCUAAUACAUGCAAGUCGAGCGAACAGACGAGGAGCUUGCUCCUCUGAUGUUAGCGGCGGACGGGUGAGUAACACGUGGAUAACCUACCUAUAAGACUGGGAUAACUUCGGGAAACCGGGGCUAAUACCGGAUAACAUGUUGAACCGCAUGGUUCAACAGUGAAAGACGGUCUUGCUGUCACUUAUAGAUGGUUCCGCGCCGCAUUAGCUAGUUGGUAAGGUAACGGCUUACCAAGGCAACGAUGCGUAGCCGACCUGAGAGGGUGAUCGGCCACACUGGAACUAAGACACGGUCCAGACUCCUACGGGAGGCAGCAGUAGGGAAUCGUCCGCAAUGGGCGAAAGCCUGACGGAGCAACGCCGCGUGAGUGAAGAAGGUCUUCGGAUCGUAAAACUCUGUUAUUAAGGAAGAACAAAUGUGUAAGUAACUAUGCACGUCUUGACGGUACCUAAUCAGAAAGCCACGGCUAACUACGUG
Molecule: ribosomal RNA, 497 nt
Filed under: uncultured bacterium
Lineage: Bacteria
Description: partial 16S ribosomal RNA
Rfam family: Bacterial small subunit ribosomal RNA
Source: RNAcentral